GUUUUUAUCUCUUCUUCAAGCAGCUGUAAAAUCUUUCUUGUAAUAGCUGAAUUUCACAGGAGCGUCUUAGGGAAGCAUAUCAGGCCUCAUGAGAACGCCUCUUAUUUUCCUGCUCCUGUAUGUGGGAGCGAUGGCUUUCGGCACCUUGUGUUCAGUGGUGCAGAGUCAAACCUGUGGAACGAGUGCUGGGCUUACAGCAGAACAAUGCACUGAUUUGGACGGUCCCACGCGGAACUUCCUGACAUGUGCUGGCGUCCCAUCAGAGCCUAAUGCAGACCACAUCCUUCACCUGAAGGGACUCAUCAGCGCCGCUCUGGAUGUCUACUCCUUCAUGCGCUCCAGUGUGGCCGGUGUGCCGGUCAUGGAUCUAUCGGGAGGCAUCAGUAUGAACGAGGAUCACGUGAUCAGAGCGUGGCUGGACAUCAAACUCACUCCUCUGCUGUCGUCCAUCUCCAGAAACUUCCUCACAUGCCUCAGCAACAGAAACUUCAGCUGCAGCGCCUAUCAGAUAGUUGUAAAGGAGUUGAGUCAGCAUUUCUCCGGUCUGGAUCCAGUGCGACAGAAGUGGAUCUAUUCUUUCUUCAUGUACCCGUUUCUCUCUAGAAAUACAUCCUCAGGUUGUGUAGAUCCAGAGGACAGUACUGAGGACUGGCUCAUGAAGAACUUCGGAUUGUUCUCGGUCAUGGCUCAAGUGCGAGACUUCACAUCCAUCAACAUGUUUUUCAGCGGGCUGGAGGUUUUGCACCUCUUGAGUCCAGAACAGAAGGCAGAGCUACUCCUUCAUCCGGAGGAGGUGGGCUUGACAGACAGCUCCCUCGGCCUGGUGUUUCAGAGUUUGCUUUCUACUAUGUUGCCCUCUGAGGAUCCAUGGCCUUCAAACAAUGGCACAGCAUAUUAUAUGAGCACCGUUCCAUCUGCCUCACCUCAGGACCCUCUUGGAAAGGCGCUGAAUGGAUUCAUGACGGCAUUUAGUCCUGUCAGGAGUUUUGUUAGACAGUUUGUGUCCUUGACGAAGCAGCAAAACUUUAGCAGCAUGCGGAGCACCACUUUGGUGCAGGCCAUGAUCAACCUGACGCUCGCUGAGCUUGCUGCGCCAUUCAAGCAGAAUUCCAGCCAACAGCCGGUCACUUUUGACCCCAUGAAUGUUAACGACUGGUUCACGCAUGUGGUUUCUCCCAUACUCCGGCGAUUCCUUCCUCCCGGCCAGAUAGAAAUCCACCCCAACCUCACGGCUGUCUUCCAUAACCAGUUCUACAUUGAGACGGGGAUGGGAACUGGAGCCCAGAAUGAAAGUCAGGACAUCUGCAGCGUCUUUAUUGAUAAUAGAACUUGUGGGCUGACGGACCUGGUGGAAAAUGUGGCCACUGUCCUGCACUGCGCAGCACGCUCAAACCUCACGCUCAACGAGGAGACGCUCUCAAGUGUCCUCCUGCAUCUCUCCCAGAACCUUAACGCUCUACUGCAGCAGCUCUCUAUGACCAACUUCAGUUCCCAGAUUUCCCCCUUCAGUGACAUCCUGGACCAAAUGGUUCAUGACACCUUCACAAUGAGCAACUUGCAGGACGAGUCGUUUGUGAGAUUAUGGUUCCAGAUCAAGUUAAAGCCUCUUCUCUCCACACUGACUCCAGAAUAUCUCACUUGCCUCAGUCACAAAGAGUUCAGCUGCCAGACCUUCCAGAUACUUGUUUCAGAACUCAGUGAUAACACGCUCCUGGUGUCAGAAGAAGGUGUGCAGGAUGUUUAUCAGUAUUUCAUUAGACCCUUCCUGAGCCGACAAAAUGUUUCAGGUGGCUGCCCUGCAGAGAACAGCAGCAUCUGGAUUACUCUGAAUUUUGGUGGAUUUUCACAGUUUGCCACAUUGAGGGAAAUGUACCAGCUGAACCAAGACUUCAACGCUAUUGAUGCACUGGUGGUUCUCUCCCCCAGACAGACAGCUGAACUCAUAGUUGAGGAUUUUGCAGGUCUGCCAGAGAAAAGUGUUAUCAUAAACAUAGUUUUUGAUCAUAUCCUUGCUUCUCCUGAAGACCGUGGACUGCUUGAGAUGCUUGGAUAUCUCAUCAUGCUCGCUGGCCAGAUGGGUUUGGAGUGCUCAUCAUACCAGCAGAUGGUUCAGAGGCUGCAGGAGUCUGUGGUUCCUCCACACAUGAUGGAAACCAUCAAGAACUACACAAGUCAUCUGGAACAGAUGGCACCUCCUGGCUGUUUUCCUUCACCUGUUACG
Long non-coding RNA from Cyprinus carpio carpio, 2221 nucleotides. NCBI's taxonomy places the organism in Eukaryota, Metazoa, Chordata, Actinopteri, Cypriniformes, Cyprinidae. The record is from Ensembl.